GAUGAACGCUGGCGGCGUGCUUAACACAUGCAAGUCGAACGGUGAAGGCGGAGCUUGCUCUGCUGGAUCAGUGGCGAACGGGUGAGUAACACGUGAGCAAUCUGCCCCUGACUCUGGGAUAAGCGCUGGAAACGGCGUCUAAUACUGGAUACGAGCUGCGAAGGCAUCUUCAGCAGCUGGAAAGAACUUCGGUCAGGGAUGAGCUCGCGGCCUAUCAGCUUGUUGGUGAGGUAACGGCUCACCAAGGCGUCGACGGGUAGCCGGCCUGAGAGGGUGACCGGCCACACUGGGACUGAGACACGGCCCAGACUCCUACGGGAGGCAGCAGUGGGGAAUAUUGCACAAUGGGCGAAAGCCUGAUGCAGCAACGCAGCGUGAGGGACGACGGCCUUCGGGUUGUAAACCUCUUUUAGCAGGGAAGAAGCGAAAGUGACGGUACCUGCAGAAAAAGCGCCGGCUAACUACGUG
RNAcentral lists this ribosomal RNA (468 nucleotides) under uncultured bacterium. Its description in RNAcentral is "partial 16S ribosomal RNA". It matches the Rfam family "Bacterial small subunit ribosomal RNA", at positions 28 to 507 of the family's 1533-position model. The record is from RNAcentral.